Pipistrellus kuhlii (Kuhl's pipistrelle) is the source of this 163-nucleotide small nuclear RNA. RefSeq annotates it as U1 spliceosomal RNA. The transcript has a single exon. NCBI's taxonomy places the organism in Eukaryota, Metazoa, Chordata, Mammalia, Chiroptera, Vespertilionidae. The record is from RefSeq and is a predicted model, not a curated record.
AUGCUUACCUGGCAGGGGAGAGAUCAUGAUCACAGAGGUGGUUUUCCCAGGCGUGGCUUAUCCACUGAACUCCAGAUGCGCUGACUCCUGCAAUCUCCCCAAAUGUGGGAAACUCGGCUGCAUUGUUUGUGGUACUGGGGGACUGCAUUCAUGCUCUCCCCUA